CCUACGGGUGGCAGCAGUGGGGAAUAUUGGGCAAUGGGCGCAAGCCUUACCCAGCAACGCCGCGUGAAGGAAGAAGGCUUUCGGGUUGUAAACUUCUUUUGACAGGGAAGAGCAGAAGACGGUACCUGUCGAAUAAGCCACGGCUAACUACGUGCCAGAAGCCGCGGUAAUACGUAGGUGGCAAGCGUUGUCCGGAUUUACUGGGUGUAAAGGGCGGGUAGCCGGGCUGACACGUCAGAUGUGAAAUCCGGGGGCUCAACCCCCGAACUGCAUUGGAAACUGUUGGUCUUGAGUAGCGGAGAGGUAUGCGGAAUGCGUGGUGUAGCGGUGAAAUGCAUAGAUCUCACGCAGAACCCCGAUUGCGAAGGCAGCAUACCGGUGCACAACUGACGCUCAGGCACGAAAGCGUGGGUAUCGAACAGGAUUAGAUACCCGGGUAGUC
RNAcentral lists this ribosomal RNA (442 nucleotides) under uncultured bacterium. RNAcentral describes it as "partial 16S ribosomal RNA". It matches the Rfam family "Bacterial small subunit ribosomal RNA", at positions 338 to 795 of the family's 1533-position model. The record is from RNAcentral.